AGGGGAGCACUGGAUCCUGGGCUGUGUCCCCUGGCGCCUUGUGCUACAGGGCCUGCGCCACUGGAAUUGCACUGCUGGGACUCCACAGGCCCCU
Molecule: microRNA precursor, 94 nt
Filed under: Canis lupus dingo (dingo)
Lineage: Eukaryota; Metazoa; Chordata; Mammalia; Carnivora; Canidae
Description: mir-8799 microRNA precursor family
Rfam family: mir-8799 microRNA precursor family
Source: Rfam by way of RNAcentral